UACGUAGGGUGCGAGCGUUAAUCGGAAUUACUGGGCGUAAAGCGUGCGCAGGCGGCUUUGCAAGACAGAUGUGAAAUCCCCGGGCUCAACCAGGGAACUGCAUUUGUGACUGCAAGGCUAGAGUACGGCAGAGGGGGAUGGAAUUCCGCGUGUAGCAGUGAAAUGCGUAGAUAUGCGGAGGAACACCAAUGGCGAAGGCAAUCCCCUGGGCCUGUACUGACGCUCAUGCACGAAAGCGUGGGGAGCAAACAGG
Molecule: ribosomal RNA, 253 nt
Filed under: uncultured bacterium
Lineage: Bacteria
Description: partial 16S ribosomal RNA
Rfam family: Bacterial small subunit ribosomal RNA
Source: RNAcentral